UGCCAGCCGCCGCGGUAAUACGGAGGGGGCAAGCGUUGUUCGGAAUUACUGGGCGUAAAGGGUGCGCAGGCGGCGUCACCAGUCAGAUGUGAAAUCCCCGGGCUCAACCUGGGAACUGCAUUUGAUACUGUGAUGCUAGAGUUCGGGAGAGGGUAGUGGAAUUCCCAGUGUAGAGGUGAAAUUCGUAGAUAUUGGGAAGAACACCAGUGGCGAAGGCGGCUACCUGGACCGAUACUGACGCUGAGGCACGAAAGCGUGGGGAGCAAACAGGAUUAGAUA
This 279-nucleotide ribosomal RNA is filed under the name uncultured bacterium. RNAcentral's name for it is "partial 16S ribosomal RNA". It matches the Rfam family "Bacterial small subunit ribosomal RNA", at positions 506 to 784 of the family's 1533-position model. The record is from RNAcentral.